This 83-nucleotide transfer RNA is filed under the name Caudoviricetes sp. RNAcentral describes it as "tRNA-Leu". It matches the Rfam family "tRNA". From Rfam's summary of the family: Transfer RNA (tRNA) molecules are approximately 80 nucleotides in length. Their secondary structure includes four short double-helical elements and three loops (D, anti-codon, and T loops). The record is from RNAcentral. Lineage: Duplodnaviria; Heunggongvirae; Uroviricota; Caudoviricetes.
GCGGGUGUGGUGGAAUUGGUAGACACACUUGAUUUAAGUUCAAAUGUCUUGCAGACGUGAGGGUUCGAGUCCCUCUACCCGUA